AUACGUAGGUGGCAAGCGUUGUCCGGAAUUAUUGGGCGUAAAGCGCGCGCAGGUGGUUUCUUAAGUCUGAUGUGAAAGCCCACGGCUCAACCGUGGAGGGUCAUUGGAAACUGGGAGACUUGAGUGCAGAAGAGGAUAGUGGAAUUCCAAGUGUAGCAGUGAAAUGCGUAGAGAUUUGGAGGAACACCAGUGGCGAAGGCGACUAUCUGGUCUGUAACUGACACUGAGGCGCGAAAGCGUGGGGAGCAAACAGGAUUAGAUACCCUGGUAGUCCACGCCGUAAACGAUGAGUGCUAAGUGUUAGGGGGUUUCCGCCCCUUAGUGCUGCAGCUAACGCAUUAAGCACUCCGCCUGGGGAGUACGGUCGCAAGACUGAAACUCAAAUGAAUUGACGGGG
This 397-nucleotide ribosomal RNA is filed under the name uncultured bacterium. RNAcentral's name for it is "partial 16S ribosomal RNA". It matches the Rfam family "Bacterial small subunit ribosomal RNA", at positions 523 to 918 of the family's 1533-position model. The record is from RNAcentral.